UGGGGAAUAUUGCACAAUGGGCGCAAGCCUGAUGCAGCCAUGCCGCGUGUAUGAAGAAGGCCUUCGGGUUGUAAAGUACUUUCAGUCGGGAGGAAGGUGGUAAGGUUAAUAACCUUGGCAAUUGACGUUACCGACAGAAGAAGCACCGGCUAACUCCGUGCCAGCAGCCGCGGUAAUACGGAGGGUGCAAGCGUUAAUCGGAAUUACUGGGCGUAAAGCGCACGCAGGCGGUUUGUUAAGUCAGAUGUGAAAUCCCCGGGCUCAACCUGGGAACUGCAUCUGAUACUGGCAAGCUUGAGUCUCGUAGAGGGGGGUAGAAUUCCAGGUGUAGCGGUGAAAUGCGUAGAGAUCUGGGGGAAUACCGGUGGCGAAGGCGGCCCCCUGGACGAAGACUGACGCUCAGGUGCGAAAGCGUGGGGAGCAAACAGG
RNAcentral lists this ribosomal RNA (429 nucleotides) under Chloroflexota bacterium. RNAcentral's name for it is "Chloroflexi bacterium partial 16S ribosomal RNA". It matches the Rfam family "Bacterial small subunit ribosomal RNA", at positions 355 to 776 of the family's 1533-position model. Lineage: Bacteria; Bacillati; Chloroflexota. The record is from RNAcentral.